GAUGAAGAACGCAGCGAAAUGCGAUAAGUAAUGUGAAUUGCAGAAUUCCGUGAAUCAUCGAAUCUUUGAACGCACAUUGCGCCCCCUGGUAUUCCGGGGGGCAUGCCUGUCCGAGCGUCAUUGCAACCCCCAAGCGCGGCUUGUGUGUUGGGCUUCGUCCCCCCGUGGACGUGCCCGAAAGGCAGUGGCGGCGUCCCGAAUGGUGCCCGAGCGUAUGGGAACUCUCUUCCGCUCGAACCGGCCCAUUCGGCGCUGGUCGAACCCCAAUUUUUUACCGGUUGACCUCGGAUCAGGUAGGGAUACCCGCUGAACUUAAGCAUAUCAAUAAGCGGAGGA
RNAcentral lists this unclassified non-coding RNA (336 nucleotides) under soil metagenome. Its description in RNAcentral is "partial contains 5.8S ribosomal RNA, internal transcribed spacer 2, and large subunit ribosomal RNA". The stretch from base 1 to 120 matches the Rfam family "5.8S ribosomal RNA", at positions 35 to 154 of the family's 154-position model. The record is from RNAcentral.